UAGGGAAUCUUUGGCAAUGGACGAAAGUCUGACCGAGCAACGCCGCGUGAGUGAAGAAGGCUUUCGGAUCGUAAAACUCUGUUGUUAGAGAAGAACAAGGACGUUAGUAACUGAACGUCCCCUGACGGUAUCUAACCAGAAAGCCACGGCUAACUACGUGCCAGCAGCCGCGGUAAUACGUAGGUGGCAAGCGUUGUCCGGAUUUAUUGGGCGUAAAGCGAGCGCAGGCGGUUUCUUAAGUCUGAUGUGAAAGCCCCCGGCUCAAACGGGGAGAGUCAUUGGAAACUGGGAGGCUUGGGUGCAGGAGAGGAGAGUGGAAUUCCAUGGGUAGCAGUGAAAUGCGUAGAUAUAUGGAGGAACACCGGUAGCGAAGGCGGCGCUCUGGUCUGUAACUGACGCUGAGGCUCGAAAGCGUGGGGAGCAAACAGG
RNAcentral lists this ribosomal RNA (429 nucleotides) under Gemmatimonadota bacterium. RNAcentral describes it as "Gemmatimonadetes bacterium partial 16S ribosomal RNA". It matches the Rfam family "Bacterial small subunit ribosomal RNA", at positions 355 to 776 of the family's 1533-position model. Lineage: Bacteria; Pseudomonadati; Gemmatimonadota. The record is from RNAcentral.